UGGGGAAUAUUGCACAAUGGGCGCAAGCCUGAUGCAGCCAUGCCGCGUGUAUGAAGAAGGCCUUCGGGUUGUAAAGUACUUUCAGUCGGGAGGAAGGUGGUAAGGUUAAUAACCUUAUCAAUUGACGUUACCGACAGAAGAAGCACCGGCUAACUCCGUGCCAGCAGCCGCGGUAAUACGGAGGGUGCAAGCGUUAAUCGGAAUUACUGGGCGUAAAGCGCACGCAGGCGGUUGAUUGAGUCAGAUGUGAAAUCCCCGGGCUUAACCCGGGAAUUGCAUCUGAUACUGGUCAGCUAGAGUCGUGUAGAGGGGGGUAGAAUUCCAUGUGUAGCGGUGAAAUGCGUAGAGAUGUGGAGGAAUACCGGUGGCGAAGGCGGCCCCCUAGACAAAGACUGACGCUCAGGUGCGAAAGCGGGGGGAGCAAACAGG
This 429-nucleotide ribosomal RNA is filed under the name Chloroflexota bacterium. Its description in RNAcentral is "Chloroflexi bacterium partial 16S ribosomal RNA". It matches the Rfam family "Bacterial small subunit ribosomal RNA", at positions 355 to 776 of the family's 1533-position model. Lineage: Bacteria; Bacillati; Chloroflexota. The record is from RNAcentral.